This 292-nucleotide ribosomal RNA is filed under the name uncultured bacterium. RNAcentral describes it as "partial 16S ribosomal RNA". It matches the Rfam family "Bacterial small subunit ribosomal RNA", at positions 505 to 796 of the family's 1533-position model. The record is from RNAcentral.
GUGUCAGCAGCCGCGGUAAUACAGGGGGGGCAAGCGUUGUUCGGAAUUACUGGGCGUAAAGGGUUCGUAGGUGGCCAACUAAGUCAGACGUGAAAUCCCUCAGCUUAACUGGGGAACUGCGUCUGAUACUGGUUGGCUUGAGUGCAGGAGAGGAACGCAGAAUUCCAGGUGUAGCGGUGAAAUGCGUAGAUAUCUGGAGGAAUACCGGUGGCGAAGGCGGCGUUCUGGACUGUAACUGACACUGAGGAACGAAAGCCAGGGGAGCAAACGGGAUUAGAUACCCCUGUAGUCC